AUUGAACGCUGGCGGCAGGCCUAACACUUGCAAGUCGAACGAGUGGCGGACGGGUGAGUAAUGUCUGGGAAACUGCCUGAUGGAGGGGGAUAACUACUGGCAACGGUCGCUAAUACCGCAUACCAUCAGAUGUGCCCAGAUGGGUGUAGCUUGUUGGUGGGGUAACGGCUCACCAAGGAGAAGAUCCAUAGCUGGUCUGAGAGGAUGACCAGCCACACUGUAACUGGGACACGGUCCAGACUCCUACGGGAGGCAGCAUGGGUGAAUAUUGCACAAUGGGCGCAAGCCUGAUGCAGCCAUGCCGCGUGUAUGAAGAAGGCCUUCGGGUUGUAAAGUACUUUCAGCGGGGAGGCGUUACCCGCAGAAGAAGCACCGGCUAACUCCGUGCCAGCAGCCGCGUAAUUC
Molecule: ribosomal RNA, 405 nt
Filed under: uncultured bacterium
Lineage: Bacteria
Description: partial 16S ribosomal RNA
Rfam family: Bacterial small subunit ribosomal RNA
Source: RNAcentral